CCUACGGGUGGCAGCAGUGGGGAAUUUUGGACAAUGGGCGCAAGCCUGAUCCAGCCAUGCCGCGUGCGGGAAGAAGGCCUUCGGGUUGUAAACCGCUUUUGGCAGGAACGAAACGGCGACUCCUAAUACGGGUCGUUAAUGACGGUACCUGCAGAAUAAGCACCGGCUAACUACGUGCCAGCAGCCGCGGUAAUACGUAGGGUGCAAGCGUUAAUCGGAAUUACUGGGCGUAAAGCGUACGCAGGCGGCUUUGCAAGACAGGUGUGAAAUCCCCGGGCCUAACCUGGGAACUGCAUUUGUGACUGCAUGGCUAGAGUUUGUCAGAGGGGGGUGGAAUUCCACGUGUAGCAGUGAAAUGCGUAGAGAUGUGGAGGAACACCGAUGGCGAAGGCAGCCCCCUGGGAUGUGACUGACGCUCAUGUACGAAAGCGUGGGGAGCAAACAGGAUUAGAUACCCUGGUAGUC
RNAcentral lists this ribosomal RNA (465 nucleotides) under uncultured Alcaligenaceae bacterium. RNAcentral describes it as "bacterial SSU rRNA". It matches the Rfam family "Bacterial small subunit ribosomal RNA", at positions 338 to 795 of the family's 1533-position model. The record is from RNAcentral. Lineage: Bacteria; Pseudomonadati; Pseudomonadota; Betaproteobacteria; Burkholderiales; Alcaligenaceae.